Molecule: long non-coding RNA, 1463 nt
Organism: Canis lupus familiaris (dog)
Lineage: Eukaryota; Metazoa; Chordata; Mammalia; Carnivora; Canidae
Exons: 5
Source: RefSeq, a predicted model, not a curated record
GUGGUGAUUAAAUGAUAUGGAGACAAUGGUUAUUUAUAAAUUGUGCUCUAUUCUUAUGACAGUAUUAGGAGGUUUUGAAAAAGAAUAUGAUGGUCAGGAAAGCCAACUGCUAAGGAAGAUAUUCUGUGAAAACGGGCAAUUCUGAAGGAGAAACUCAUUUCUUGCAAGCACAGGCCAAACUGCUUAAAAUUGAACCCAUUAUUUACACAGCUACAAAGAGCCUCAAAGGAAACGGAAUAUAUAGCUUUGAAAAGCCUCCACUGUCUAAGUCAGGGCUCUACUAGGAAAAAAAAAAAAGAUCCUGGAGAUUUCUAUCUUCUAUGUAGGAAUAUUUGACUGGCUGAGCCUGAAACUCAUGUGCUCCUUACAUCAUCUGAAUCUUCCUGGCCAGGAAGAACAGUCCUCUUCACUUUGAGUGAGCAGAGUGGCCUCUUUUCUCCUAAAGGCGUACCCUUACUGGAGAUUCUUGUUCUCUUUGGAUUCUAAAUUUUUACCCCUAGUGUUUCCAGCUUGGUAACCACAGCAAAGUCUUUGCAGAACCGGAGCUCUGAGAGGAAUAGCCCACAUGCUGAAAGAAUUUCAGGACCUAACCAAAAGAAUUCAUCUGCCGUUGGAAAAGGCCUCUGCCACAGAGCAUCAGUCACCUACAAUGAAUUUGGCUGUUGACCAACGGCAAGAGAUUAACCAGAAAGUCUCCCUAAAUCAAAAUUGGAAAAGAAAGAAGAAAGCUGAGUCAGAACAGAGUGACAAACUCAAUAACCAGUGAAGCAACAAGAAGUUCAAAUAUGCUAAUCCAGGUGGCGGAAAAGUUCUGACAUUCCCAGGCCUGGGGCUUGAAGCAUGAGAGUUCUGGAAAGCUCUCCAGCGACUUGGAUGGACCCCUCAUGGCACACCUCAUGGCCAAAAGGAACCAUGUGGGAGAGUGAGGUUUUUUGGUUUUCUACUCUGUGUCAUCAGAGUCUAGCAUCACCUAUGGAGUGGUAGCAUGGCUCAAAUGCUGUCCUCUUUCACUAGGCAAGAGAGAAAUAGAAGAGUGGGGUUGGGGGGAACAAAGCUCUCACCUGUGAGAAUUGAAGAUUCGUUAAUGGCUGCAUUAGAACUGGACUCGAGUCUAACAGGAACCGUGUGUAUGCAUAUGCAUCAUUUUGCACAAGUUCAGAAGGGGUGAUCAUUUCUAGGAAGUAGCGUGAGCAAAAUAAAUACAGAUUGAGAUAACUGUUCCGUGAGGGGCAGGGAAGAAAUUGGUAUGAUGGGAAAACAACAACACAUCGUUAAUUUAAAUGGGUAUGUUGGUAACAAAUAUUACUUUGCAGUCAUUUCUUUUUCUAGUUCAGAUGUAGCAUCAUGGGAUUUGAGACCCAAUGAUUCCCACAUUCUAAAUGUUUACAGGCUAAAAUAGUUUAAGGAAAUUCACACACUUUUCAUGCUACCGUGUAUCGAUUCCCAUCUCAAUGAAAGGUGCA